GUCGGGAAUUUUGCCCAAUGAGCGAAAGCUUGAGGCAGCAACUCCGCGUGAGGGAUGAAGGCUCUCGGGUCGUAAACCUCUUUUCUCAGGGAAGAUCCAAGACGGUACCUGAGGAAUAAGCGACGGCUAACUACGUGCCAGCAGCCGCGGUAAUACGUAGGUCGCAAGCGUUGUCCGGAUUUACUGGGCGUAAAGAGCGCGCAGGCGGCUGGUCAAGUCCGAUGUGAAAUCUCCCGGCUCAACUGGGAAACUGCAUCGGAAACUGAUCGGCUUGAAGAUGGGAGAGGGUAGUGGAAUUCCCGGUGUAGUGGUGAAAUGCGUAGAUAUCGGGAGGAACACCAGUGGCGAAGGCGACUACCUGGCCCAUUCUUGACGCUGAGGCGCGAAAGCUAGGGGAGCGAACGGGAUUAGAAACCCCGGUAGUCC
RNAcentral lists this ribosomal RNA (426 nucleotides) under uncultured bacterium. RNAcentral's name for it is "bacterial SSU rRNA". It matches the Rfam family "Bacterial small subunit ribosomal RNA", at positions 354 to 796 of the family's 1533-position model. The record is from RNAcentral.